UACGUAGGGUGCGAGCGUUAAUCGGAAUUACUGGGCGUAAAGCGUGCGCAGGCGGUUUUGUAAGCCAGAUGUGAAAUCCCCGGGCUUAACCUGGGAAUGGCAUUUGGGACUGCAAGGCUUGAGUGCGGCAGAGGAGACUGGAAUUCCUGGUGUAGCAGUGAAAUGCGUAGAUAUCAGGAGGAACACCGAUGGCGAAGGCAGGUCUCUGGCUGACACUGACGCUCAUGCACGAAAGCGUGGGGAGCAAACAGGAUUAGAACUCCGUUACUGAGUCCAA
Molecule: ribosomal RNA, 277 nt
Filed under: uncultured bacterium
Lineage: Bacteria
Description: partial 16S ribosomal RNA
Rfam family: Bacterial small subunit ribosomal RNA
Source: RNAcentral